CGAAUGCUGACGUGAGUAACGACAAAACGGGUGAAAAACCCGUUCGCCGAAAGACCAAGGGUUCCAGUCCAACGUUAAUCGGGGCUGGGUGAGUCGACCCCUAAGGCGAGGCCGAAAGGCGUAGUCGAUGGGAAAAUGGUUAAUAUUCCAUUACUUCUGUGUAAUGCGAUGAGAGGACGGAGAAGGCUAAAUCAGCCUGGCGUUGGUUGUCCAGGUGAAAGGAUGUAGGCAUGUAUCUUAGGCAAAUCCGGGGUACUCUAUGCUGAGAUCUGAUAGCAAGCUGUACUUGUACAGCGAAGUGGUUGAUGCCAUGCUUCCAGGAAAAGUCUCUAAGCUUCAGUUACACAGGAAUCGUACCCGAAACCGACACAGGUGGUCAGGUCGAGUAGACCAAGGCGCUUGAGAGAACUCUGCUGAAGGAACUAGGCAAAAUGGUACCGUAACUUCGGGAGAAGGUACGCUGUUGUUGGUGAUGGAACUCGCUUCCUGAGCUGA
Molecule: ribosomal RNA, 495 nt
Filed under: Acinetobacter baumannii
Lineage: Bacteria; Pseudomonadati; Pseudomonadota; Gammaproteobacteria; Moraxellales; Moraxellaceae
Description: partial 23S ribosomal RNA
Rfam family: Bacterial large subunit ribosomal RNA
Source: RNAcentral